AACAAACGCUGGCGGCGUGCCUAAUACUUGCAAGUCGAACGGGGAAAGUCUACGGAUGAGUACUAGUGGCAUACGGGUGAGCAAUACGUAGGUAAUCUGCCCUAAGGUGGGGAACAACUAGCCGAAAGGUUAGCUAGUACCGCAUAAGACCACAAGAUCUGCGGAUCUAGGGGUUAAAGACUUCGGUCGCCAUAGGAUGA
This 200-nucleotide ribosomal RNA is filed under the name uncultured bacterium. RNAcentral's name for it is "partial 16S ribosomal RNA". It matches the Rfam family "Bacterial small subunit ribosomal RNA", at positions 29 to 228 of the family's 1533-position model. The record is from RNAcentral.